UGCAUGUUGAACAGGAUCCAGGGGCCAAGUGCCAGCUGUGCUGUUUCAGAUGACAAAUGCAUUACCUGUGCUGGGCAGAGGUGCCUUGAGUUCUUGGCCUCAGGGUGACAGAUGCUUGACAUGACUGCGUACAUUUGAAAAGGAAGAGACAUCCACUUCUACAAAAAUCAUAGAAUGUCCUGAGUUGGAAGGAUCCUGUGGAAUAUCUGGAAAGCAAAGGACACGUAGUGAACAAUCCAGGCUCGGACUGCGCGGACUUAAUCUGCCUGGGAACAAGAGGGCCUCAAGGAUGUUGCGAGUUAACACCGAUGUAUGUAGCUAUUAAUAACAGCUGUGAUUUUGUAGUUCCCAAGGCUUACAAAGCGGCACGGUACGAACUUACUGUGGGAACGUGUGGGAUGGCAUUACGCCUUCCUGAUAAGUUGCAUUCCAAGAUUGGCCACAGGUGCUACUCUGUCAACAGGGGCCGCAUCCCGUACCACCGGCGGGAGUGUCUCGUUACAGCCUAGCAAAACCAGGCGGGAGUUGCCGAUGCUGCUAGUAGCUAUCCUUGGGAUAAAGCCCAAGGCCGUGCUGACCAACUAAUAAUAGGCUUGUAUAUAAUAAACAGUAGAGGCUUGUGUGUGAUAAGGUGGUUGCAGAGCUAUAUUAACUGCGCUGUGUCUGUAAUAAACUGGCAUUUGCUUGGUCAUAUUGGUCAUGUGCACUGUCCGUGACUUCUGCGUCAGCAGGAUCCCACAAGGAUCAUUGAGUCCAUCUCCUGUCCCUGCAUAGGACAACCCCAAAUUCACACCAUGUGUCUGAGGGAUUUUGACAUGCAUGUUUUCCUGCAAAACUUUAUGUGUCAUAGUGUAAAACAAUAUGCCAUAAAAGAACAACCUCCCCUUGGAAAGAAUAAGUAUUGUCUAUGUUUAAUUAACGUGAAUCUAGACUUUUUUUUAAAAAAUCAACCAUUGUUUGAUAUUUUUAUAUUUUACCUAAGCUUGGAUAUCUUGGCCAUCAGCGUCAUCCAUUUAAUCAAAGACAGAUGUUCCUUUUGGAAAAAAAUAAAGGAAAGCUGGCACGAGCAAUAGCCUUGAAUGGUCCUUAGCUGACACAUGACCGUAUAUUAAUAAAAAGAAUUAGGGUACUUCAUCUGUAAAGACCACCAAGGUUCCCCGAAGAGAGGAAGACAUGCGCAGAAGAAUCUGAAGUGGAGCCAAGAGUGACCUAAUGACAUUACACAACCUAUGUAGAUUAGAAUGAAUAUGUAUUAGAUAGGCAGAAUAUAUACUAAUUUAUUGUAUAAAUAUAAUGAAGAAGCUGGC
This is a non-coding RNA of Phalacrocorax carbo (great cormorant), 1307 nucleotides long. The record is from RefSeq and is a predicted model, not a curated record. Lineage: Eukaryota; Metazoa; Chordata; Aves; Suliformes; Phalacrocoracidae.